CAGUAGCCACGGGAAUACGAAGGGUGCGAGCGUUACUCGGAAUUACUGGGCGUAAAGCGUGCGUAGGUGGUGGUUUAAGUCCGUUGUGAAAGCCCUGGGCUCAACCUGGGAAUUGCAGUGGAUACUGGAUCACUAGAGUGUGGUAGAGGAUAGUGGAAUUUCCGGUGUAGCAGUGAAAUGCGUAGAGAUCGGAAGGAACAUCUGUGGCGAAGGCGACUAUCUGGGCCAACACUGACACUGAGGCACGAAAGCGUGGGGAGCAAACAGGAUUAGAUACCCCUGUAGUCCCUGUCUCUUAUAC
This 301-nucleotide ribosomal RNA is filed under the name uncultured bacterium. Its description in RNAcentral is "partial 16S ribosomal RNA". It matches the Rfam family "Bacterial small subunit ribosomal RNA", at positions 509 to 807 of the family's 1533-position model. The record is from RNAcentral.